CUGAUGACAGGCCUAACACAUGCAAGUCGUGAUGUACUGACGGGACCUUCGGGUACUGGAAACGGCGAGCGGCGGACGGGUGAGUAAUGCCUAGGAAUCUGCCUGUCCAGUAGUAUAACGCGGGGCAUUCUCGCGCUAAUACCGCAUACGUCCCAGUGAUAGAAAGUGGGGGACAGUGAUCCUCACCAUAGCAGAUGAGCCUAGGUCGGAUUAGCUAGUUGGUGGGGUAAAGGCCCACCCAGGCGACGAUCCGUAACUGGUCUGAGAGGACAUGAAGUCACACUGGAACUGAGACACGGUCCAGACUCCUACGGGAGGCAACAGUGGGGAAUAUUGGACAAUGGGCGAAAGCCUGAUCCAGCCAUGCCGCACGUGAUGAAGAAGGUCUUCGGAUUCCGUAAACAGUAAGUUGGGAGGAAGGGCGCUCGGUGAAUACCCAACAGUGGCGUCUUGACGUUACCGUACGUAAGCACCGGCUAACUUCGUGCCAGCCGCGGUAAUACGAAGGGUCCAGUGACGUUAAUCGGAAUUACUGGGCGUAACCAUGAUAGGUGGUUCGGCAAGUUGGAUGCCAUGAUGGGCUCAACCUGGGAACCGCAUCCCCAGUAACUACUGGGCUAGAGUACGGUAGAGGGUCCAGUGGUGGAAUUUCCUGUGUCCAGUGAGCGUAGAUAUAGGAAGCCAUGAUGUGGCGAAGGCGACCACCUGGACCCGUAGUACACUGAGGUGCGAAAGCCCGUAGUAGCAAACAGGAUUAGAUACCCUGGUAGUCCACGCCGUAAACGAUGUCGACUAGUAGAGCCGUUGGGCUCCUUGAGAGCUUAGUGGCGCAUGAUACGCGUCGACCGCCUGGGGAGCCAGUGAUGCAAGGUUAAAACUCAAAUGAAUUGCCAAUGAUCGCACAAGCGGUGGAGCAUGUGGUUUAAUUCGAAGCAACGCGCCAUGACGUAGCUGGCCUUGACAUCCUGUGACGUUUCAAGAGAUUGAUGAUGACGUUCGGGAGCGCAGAGACAGGUCCAGUGAUGCUGUCGUCAGCUCGUGUCGUGAGAUGUUGGGUUCCAUGAUAACGAGCGCAACAUGCACGAUUACCAGCGAUUCGGUCGGGCAUGUGACCUCUAAGGAGACAGUGAUGUGACAAACCCAUGAUGAUGACCCAUAGAUAGUGGCCC
This 1169-nucleotide ribosomal RNA is filed under the name Azotobacter vinelandii. Its description in RNAcentral is "bacterial SSU rRNA". It matches the Rfam family "Bacterial small subunit ribosomal RNA", at positions 36 to 1202 of the family's 1533-position model. The record is from RNAcentral. Lineage: Bacteria; Pseudomonadati; Pseudomonadota; Gammaproteobacteria; Pseudomonadales; Pseudomonadaceae.